This 901-nucleotide ribosomal RNA is filed under the name Triplosphaeria yezoensis. RNAcentral's name for it is "LSU rRNA". It matches the Rfam family "Eukaryotic large subunit ribosomal RNA", at positions 42 to 961 of the family's 3401-position model. Lineage: Eukaryota; Fungi; Ascomycota; Dothideomycetes; Pleosporales; Tetraplosphaeriaceae. The record is from RNAcentral.
AAUCAUAAGCGGAGGAAAAGAAACCAACAGGGAUUGCCCUAGUAACGGCGAGUGAAGCGGCAACAGCUCAAAUUUGAAAUCUGGCUCCUUUGGGGCCCGAGUUGUAAUUUGUAGAGGGUGCUUUGGCGUUGGCCCCGGCCUAAGUCCCUUGGAACAGGGCGUCACAGAGGGUGAGAAUCCCGUACGUGGCCGACCGCCUUCGCCGUGUAAAGCCCCUUCGACGAGUCGAGUUGUUUGGGAAUGCAGCUCUAAAUGGGAGGUAAAUUUCUUCUAAAGCUAAAUACUGGCCAGAGACCGAUAGCGCACAAGUAGAGUGAUCGAAAGAUGAAAAGCACUUUGGAAAGAGAGUCAAAAAGCACGUGAAAUUGUUGAAAGGGAAGCGCUUGCAGCCAGACUUGCCUGUAGUUGCUCAUCCGGGUUCCUGCCCGGUGCACUCUUCUGCUGGCAGGCCAGCAUCAGUUUGGGCGGCCGGAUAAAGGUCUCGGUAACGUACCUCCCCUCGGGGAGUGUUAUAGGGGGGGGCGUCAUGCAGCCAGCCUGGACUGAGGUCCGCGCAUCUGCUAGGAUGCUGGCGUAAUGGCUGUAAGCGGCCCGUCUUGAAACACGGACCAAGGAGUCUAACAUCUAUGCGAGUGUUUGGGUGUCAAGCCCGAGCGCGUAAUGAAAGUGAACGGAGGUGGGAACCUUUCGGGGUGCACCAUCGACCGAUCCUGAUGUCUUCGGAUGGAUUUGAGUAAGAGCAUAGCUGUUGGGACCCGAAAGAUGGUGAACUAUGCUUGAAUAGGGUGAAGCCAGAGGAAACUCUGGUGGAGGCUCGCAGCGGUUCUGACGUGCAAAUCGAUCGUCAAAUUUGGGCAUAGGGGCGAAAGACUAAUCGAACUAUCUAGUAGCUGGUUCCUGC